Rhipicephalus microplus (southern cattle tick) is the source of this 218-nucleotide long non-coding RNA. The record is from RefSeq and is a predicted model, not a curated record. NCBI's taxonomy places the organism in Eukaryota, Metazoa, Arthropoda, Arachnida, Ixodida, Ixodidae.
GUUCUACACAGGCUACUCAGCAGGGAUCACGCAAAAGGAAACCGAGUGAUCCACUUUUCACAAUUCCAAAACCCACCAUGAGGAUCAGACGGAAAACGCCACCAUCUACAUCGCUCUCUCCAAUAGUUGAAGAAGGUAAUGCGGCACGAAACUUGAACUUUUGGAAUGGCAGACGUUUGCUUCCUAUGAGAAGAGGACCUCCACCUAUUACUAAUUUA